This is a long non-coding RNA of Gorilla gorilla gorilla (western lowland gorilla), 1172 nucleotides long. RefSeq lists it as uncharacterized. The transcript is spliced from 6 exons. NCBI's taxonomy places the organism in Eukaryota, Metazoa, Chordata, Mammalia, Primates, Hominidae. The record is from RefSeq and is a predicted model, not a curated record.
CCCGCAGGUGGAGCUGCCUGCCAGUCCCGUGCCGUGCGCCCACACUCCUCAGCCCUUGGGUGGUCGAUGGGACUGGGAGCCUUGGAGCAGGGGGCGGCGUUCGUCGGGGAGGCUCCUGCGGCACAGAAGCCCACGGAGUUGCGGGGAGGCUCAGGCAUGGCGGGCUGCAGGUCCCGAGCCCUGCCCUGCGGGGAGGCAGCUAAGGCCGGGCGAGAAAUUGAGCACAGUAGCUGCCGGCCCAGGUGCUAAGCCCCUUACUGCCGGGGCCGGCGGGGCGGGUUGGCCGCUCCGAGUGCGGGGCCUGUCGAGCCCACGCCCACCCGGAACUCACGCUGGCCCGCAAGCGCCGCGCGCAGCCCUGGUCCCCGCCCGCGGCUCUCUCUCCACACAUCCCCGCAAGCUGAGGGAGCCAGCUCCGGCCUUUGCCAGCCCAGAAAAGGGCUCCCACAGUGCAGGGGCGGGCUGAAGGGCUCCUCAAGUGCCGCCAAAGUGGGAGCCCAGGCAAAGGAGGCGCCGAGAACGAGCGAGGGCUGUGAGGACUGCCAGCACGCUGUCACCUCUCAGUCAGAGCCCACAGAUAAUAGCAACACACUAAGGUCCUCAAGGUACAUCGUUGGGAUCAAGCAACUUUGAUCCCAAGGAGAAGAAUAAAAACAAGAGGGACGACUGGGCCAAGGUGCCAUGUGAAGUGACCUGUGAGGAUCAACCCAGUGAAGAUGUUUGAGGAAGACAUGCUAGAGCAAAAACUACAACUGUAGACCUCUUGGAUAGUUUAGAUAAGGACUUUACCCACAUAAAGAAGGUGUUGCCCUGGGGACUGGCUGAGAGAAAUUACAGACUGUUACUCACUUCAAAAGAAACUGACUGCUACAAUGGUACUUACGUCACCAGAAACAAACACUUCCACAAAGAAUUUGAUUUGAUGGCAUCAUGUGGACAUAGAACUCUCAUAGUAAUGACCCAACCUGUGUUUCCAGUCAUCCUGAUGAACUCUCAACAAAAUCAGAUUGUUAUACUGUUGUUCUCACUUUACACCCAUAUUUUCUCUUGCUCCUAAAAAAAGUAUCUGGUAUUAAAUAGAAUUCUGUAUCUUAAAAAACUUGCCAUUGAGAAAAAUGAGAAGUAAUUGUACAUUUUAAUACUGAAGGUUUUAAUAAAAAAAGCAGUGUGAA